This 253-nucleotide ribosomal RNA is filed under the name uncultured bacterium. RNAcentral describes it as "partial 16S ribosomal RNA". It matches the Rfam family "Archaeal small subunit ribosomal RNA", at positions 474 to 727 of the family's 1478-position model. The record is from RNAcentral.
UACCAGCACCCCGAGUGGUCGGGACGUUUAUUGGGCCUAAAGCAUCCGUAGCCGGUUCUACAAGUCUUCCGUUAAAUCCAACUGCUUAACAGGUGGGCUGCGGAAGAUACUAUAGAGCUAGGAGGCGGGAGAGGCAAGCGGUACUCGAUGGGUAGGGGUAAAAUCCGUUGAUCCAUUGAAGACCACCAGUGGCGAAGGCGGCUUGCCAGAACGCGCUCGACGGUGAGGGAUGAAAGCUGGGGGAGCGAACAGG